GAUGAACGCCGGCGGUGUGCCUAAUACAUGCAAGUCGUACGCACUGGCCCAACUAAUUGAUGGUGCUUGCACCUGAUUGACGAUGGAUCACCAGUGAGUGGCGGACGGGUGAGUAACACGUAGGUAACCUGCCCCGGAGCGGGGGAUAACAUUUGGAAACAGAUGCUAAUACCGCAUAACAACAAAAGCCGCAUGGCUUUUGUUUGAAAGAUGGCUUUGGCUAUCACUCUGGGAUGGACCUGCGGUGCAUUAGCUAGUUGGUAAGGUAACGGCUUACCAAGGCGAUGAUGCAUAGCCGAGUUGAGAGACUGAUCGGCCACAAUGGAACUGAGACACGGUCCAU
This 343-nucleotide ribosomal RNA is filed under the name uncultured bacterium. RNAcentral's name for it is "bacterial SSU rRNA". It matches the Rfam family "Bacterial small subunit ribosomal RNA", at positions 28 to 334 of the family's 1533-position model. The record is from RNAcentral.